GAAAAAAAGAGAUAAAAAUUCUCCUAGAAGAUCAAAAUCCAAAGGAAAAAAUGGUGAUUCGUUAAGUGGCAGCAGUGCGUCCUCAGAUGGGAGUAGUGUAUUUGCUAAUUAUGAAACCAUGUCAAUUGCUGGAGCUCUUGUCUGGCGGGAAAAGGAAACACUUCAUGAUUGGUCGGCGCUUGCAGUUCUUCGUAAUAGGAUUGGCCGAGGUAGUGAUGACGAUUGCAAUGCUGCCAAUUAGCUAGAUGUGGAC
Centruroides sculpturatus (bark scorpion) is the source of this 253-nucleotide long non-coding RNA. RefSeq lists it as uncharacterized. NCBI's taxonomy places the organism in Eukaryota, Metazoa, Arthropoda, Arachnida, Scorpiones, Buthidae. The transcript has 3 exons. The record is from RefSeq and is a predicted model, not a curated record.